This 488-nucleotide ribosomal RNA is filed under the name uncultured bacterium. RNAcentral's name for it is "bacterial SSU rRNA". It matches the Rfam family "Bacterial small subunit ribosomal RNA", at positions 29 to 508 of the family's 1533-position model. The record is from RNAcentral.
AACGAACGCUGGCGGCGCGCCUAAUACAUGCAAGUCGGGCGAGAAGACGUAGCAAUACGUUUGUAAAGCGGCGAACGGGUGAGGAAUACAUGGGUAACCUACCCUCGAGUGGGGAAUAACUAGCCGAAAGGUUAGCUAAUACCGCGUACGCUCUUUGGACUUCGGUUCAGGGAGGAAAGCGAUACCGUGGGUAUCGCGCUCUUGGAUGGGCUCAUGUCCUAUCAGCUUGUUGGUGAGGUAACGGCUCACCAAGGCUUCGACGGGUAGCUGGUCUGAGAGGACGAUCAGCCACACUGGCACUGCGACACGGGCCAGACUCCUACGGGAGGCAGCAGUAAGGAAUAUUGCGCAAUGGGCGAAAGCCUGACGCAGCGACGCCGCGUGGGGGAUGAAGGUCUUCGGAUUGUAAACCCCUUUCGGGAGGGAAGAUGGAAUGGGGUAACCCAUUUGGACGGUACCUCCAGAAGCAGCCACGGCUAACUUCGUGC